AAGGAGGUGGAGCUGGGCAGGCAGGGAAAGCCUCCAAGGCUCCCAGGGAGGAGGAAAGAAACCCAGGGAAAAAAUGCUUUACCUCCAGGUGAUCUGGGCUGGUUGGUGUGCUCCUUCCUGCCUGGCUCAAGGGGCUGGACAAUUUCAAUUUUCUACUGGAUGCUGAGGGAUUCGAAGCAGGAGUCCCAUUGACUCAACUCACAGGUUUGGUGUGCUUAGGCAGCAGCCUGGUGGAAAAGAAGACAAAGGAUGGAAAUAUAUUUAUAGCAUGAGCAACUUGGUCCUCAUUGAUAUGUUCACUGCAACCCAGAGAAUUAAUGGCUCUGUAAAUGAGCCACUGAAAUGGUAAGAGUUAUCUACAUAUUCCAUUUAUUUUAUAAUAGCUGUUAAUCUUACACGGCCUGAUUUGAUAAAACAGAUCAUCAAAUCUUGAUUUUUGUGUGCUUAAUUUAACCUGUAAUUAACUGUGCAUUAUACAUGUAAAUUGAAUUCAGAAGUCUCUAAAAGUAAAUGUGGAUGGGGCUACAGUCUAAAAACAAGCAUACAAAGCUACUGCUGAAUUCCUUCCCAUGUGCGAAAAAGGGCCAGUUGGUGAUAAUAGAAACAGCUUGUGCCAGUGGGUUCCCAGAGAAGGUGAGGAGGAAAGGGAGGUAGUAGCCUAAUAGGCCACAUCUGUCAGAGCCUCUUGUCCCAUCGUGUUCCUUCUGGGCAAAUUCUGCUGUGAUGAAGUUUAGUUGCUUUCAUGGCUCAAAGGGCAAAGAGAGCCAGGAAG
This is a long non-coding RNA of Neopsephotus bourkii (Bourke's parrot), 772 nucleotides long. RefSeq lists it as uncharacterized. The transcript is spliced from 3 exons. The record is from RefSeq and is a predicted model, not a curated record. NCBI's taxonomy places the organism in Eukaryota, Metazoa, Chordata, Aves, Psittaciformes, Psittacidae.